RNAcentral lists this transfer RNA (70 nucleotides) under Choeras grammatitergitus. RNAcentral describes it as "tRNA-Ser". Lineage: Eukaryota; Metazoa; Arthropoda; Insecta; Hymenoptera; Braconidae. The record is from RNAcentral.
AGAUAAUGAGCUUGAUUUAUAAGUUUAUAUUUUGAAAAUAUAAGAUAGAAUUUAAAAAUUUUAUUAUCUU